GCAGUCCAGCGUGAAGGGCGGUGGCUCUUCUGAUGAAUGCGCCGGCGAAGCUGUGGACAGCCCCCUCGCAGCAGCCUUUUGAUCGGAGGUUAUGGCGACAGUGGGUGCAGGAGUGGCGGAGGUGAGUGCCUUGGGGUUUCAGAGAUGAAUAUAUUAGGGCAAAUUUUUUUUUUCUUUUCUUUUCUUUUAAGCCUAAGAUGAUAUUUUAACAUCUGUCAUUUAAAUUUUUUUUUUUCCAUGUUGGAUACCUU
This 251-nucleotide long non-coding RNA is filed under the name Vigna radiata. RNAcentral's name for it is "long non-coding RNA (VRAD_LNC000116)". The record is from RNAcentral. Lineage: Eukaryota; Viridiplantae; Streptophyta; Magnoliopsida; Fabales; Fabaceae.